This 314-nucleotide ribosomal RNA is filed under the name uncultured soil bacterium. RNAcentral describes it as "bacterial SSU rRNA". It matches the Rfam family "Bacterial small subunit ribosomal RNA", at positions 26 to 330 of the family's 1533-position model. The record is from RNAcentral.
AGAGUGAACGCUGGCGGUAGGCCUAACACAUGCAAGUCGAACGGCAGCACAGCAGUAGCAAUACUGUGGGUGGCGAGUGGCGGACGGGUGAGGAAUACAUCGGAAUCUACCUUUUCGUGGGGGAUAACGUAGGGAAACUUACGCUAAUACCGCAUAAGACCUUCGGGUGAAAGCCGGGGACCUUCGGGCCUGGCGCGGAUAGAUGAGCCGAUGUCGGAUUAGCUUAGUGGCGGGGUAAAACCCCGACCAAGGCGACGAUCCGUAGCGUGGUCUAGAGGAGGAUGGAUCAGCCACACUAGGACUGAGACGACGGU